RNAcentral lists this long non-coding RNA (759 nucleotides) under Salvia miltiorrhiza (redroot sage). Its description in RNAcentral is "long non-coding RNA (SMIL_LNC011416)". The record is from RNAcentral. Lineage: Eukaryota; Viridiplantae; Streptophyta; Magnoliopsida; Lamiales; Lamiaceae.
ACAAAACUCAUAAUUCUUUGCACAAUCAAGAAACAUAUAUUAAAAGUAAAAUAAGAAUAACCACCAAACAAACACAAACCCGAAAUGCACAUUGAAAACCAUCUUCUCUUCCACAAAUUCAUAAAAAUUAGCCAGAUUCGAGACCAAAAACUAAGCAUAGAAAAAUCAAUUUCGCCCAAUUUUUGAAAAAUAUAAGCUCCAAAACACCCCCCCACACUUAAAGCAUGCCAUGUCCUCAGGGCAUAAAAGAAAUAAGAAGAGUGUAGAAAACAUCCCUGAUUAUUGGCAUUGACAAACUGAAUCAUCGUGAAAGGCGGCGAAAUGGGGUUUGCGGUCUGUUGCAGAGGGAGAGUGGCGGCGCUGGGUAGGGCAGCGAAGAGUGGAAAAGGCUGCGCUGGACAGGGCAGCGAAGAGAGCGGCUCCUCUGGACAUGAAGACCUCCAGAAAUCUGGCAGAGAAACACCUGUUCCUCUGGCGGUGGCAUGAAUAAAGCGCGAGAACUCGCAACUUCCAAACACCGCACUAAAAACCCAAACAAAACAAAGAAACAAAGAAAAACAAAACGAAACUGAAAGAAAAACAAAACAAAAACAAACAGUUGGGUUACCUCCCAACAAGUGCUUAAUUUAACGUCUAGAGCUCGACGAUACCUUCAAUCACGGAUCAACGAAGUUGACCACUUCCACGUCGCGGUCCAACUUUGCUUUGAAGUAUGGUUUGAGGCGAUGGCCAUUAACAGUGAAAGUAGACCCAUUCGAC